This 490-nucleotide ribosomal RNA is filed under the name uncultured bacterium. RNAcentral's name for it is "partial 16S ribosomal RNA". It matches the Rfam family "Bacterial small subunit ribosomal RNA", at positions 30 to 507 of the family's 1533-position model. The record is from RNAcentral.
AUUGAACGCUGGCGGCAGGCCUAACACAUGCAAGUCGAACGGUAACAGGAAGCAGCUUGCUGCUUUGCUGACGAGUGGCGGACGGGUGAGUAAUGUCUGGGAAACUGCCUGAUGGAGGGGGAUAACUACUGGAAACGGUAGCUAAUACCGCAUAAUGUCGCAAGACCAAAGAGGGGGACCUUCGGGCCUCUUGCCAUCGGAUGUGCCCAGAUGGGAUUAGCUAGUAGGUGGGGUAACGGCUCACCUAGGCGACGAUCCCUAGCUGGUCUGAGAGGAUGACCAGCCACACUGGAACUGAGACACGGUCCAGACUCUUACGGGAGGCAGCAGUGGGGAAUAUUGCACAAUGGGCGCAAGCCUGAUGCAGCCAUGCCGCGUGUAUGAAGAAGGCCUUCGGGUUGUAAAGUACUUUCAGCGGGGAGGAAGGGAGUAAAGUUAAUACCUUUGCUCAUUGACGUUACCCGCAGAAGAAGCACCGGCUAACUCCGUG